This 253-nucleotide ribosomal RNA is filed under the name uncultured bacterium. Its description in RNAcentral is "partial 16S ribosomal RNA". It matches the Rfam family "Bacterial small subunit ribosomal RNA", at positions 524 to 776 of the family's 1533-position model. The record is from RNAcentral.
UACGUAGGGGGCAAGCGUUGUCCGGAAUCAUUGGGCGUAAAGAGCGUGUAGGCGGCUUGGUAAGUCCGCUGUGAAAGUCCGGGGCUCAACCCUGGAAAGCCGGUGGAAACUGUCAAGCUUGAGUCCGGAAGAGGCGAGUGGAAUUCCUGGUGUAGCGGUGAAAUGCGCAGAUAUCAGGAGGAACACCAAUGGCGAAGGCAGCUCGCUGGGACGGUACUGACGCUGAGACGCGAAAGCGUGGGGAGCAAACAGG